RNAcentral lists this ribosomal RNA (512 nucleotides) under uncultured bacterium. RNAcentral's name for it is "partial 16S ribosomal RNA". It matches the Rfam family "Bacterial small subunit ribosomal RNA", at positions 28 to 507 of the family's 1533-position model. The record is from RNAcentral.
GAUGAACGCUGGCGGCGUGCCUAAUACAUGCAAGUCGAACGAAACUUCUUUAUCGCCGAGUGCUUGCACUCACCGAUAAAGAGUUGAGUGGCGAACGGGUGAGUAACACGUGGGCAACCUGCCCAAAAGAGGGGGAUAACACUUGGAAACAGGUGCUAAUACCGCAUAACCAUAGUUACCGCAUGGUAACUAUGUAAAAGGUGGCUAUACUACCGCUUUUGGAUGGGCCCGCGGCGCAUUAGCUAGUUGGUAGGGUAAAGGCUUACCAAGGCAAUGAUGCGUAGCCGAAUUGAGAGGUUGAUCGGCCACAUUGGGACUGAGACACGGCCCAAACUCCUACGGGAGGCAGCAGUAGGGAAUCUUCCACAAUGGGCGAAAGCCUGAUGGAGCAACGCCGCGUGGGUGAAGAAGGUCUUCGGAUCGUAAAACCCUGUUGUUAGAGAAGAAAGUGCGUGAGAGUAACUGUUCACGUUUCGACGGUAACUAACCAGAAAGCCACGGCUAACUACGUG